GAUGAAGAACGCAGCGAAAUGCGAUACGUAAUGUGAAUUGCAGAAUUCAGUGAAUCAUCGAGUCUUUGAACGCACAUUGCGCCCCCUGGUAUUCCGGGGGGCAUGCCUGUCCGAGCGUCACUGCUGCCCUCAAGCACGGCUUGUGUGUUGGGCCUCCGUCCUCCUCCCGGGGGACGGGCCCGAAAGGCAGCGGCGGCACCGCGUCCGGUCCUCGAGCGUAUGGGGCUUCGUCACCCGCUCUUGUAGGCCCGGCCGGCGCUUGCCGACACAUCAAUCUUUUUUCCAGGUUGACCUCGGAUCAGGUAGGGAUACCCGCUGAACUUAAGCAUAUCAAUAAGCGGAGGA
This 345-nucleotide unclassified non-coding RNA is filed under the name soil metagenome. Its description in RNAcentral is "partial contains 5.8S ribosomal RNA, internal transcribed spacer 2, and large subunit ribosomal RNA". The stretch from base 1 to 120 matches the Rfam family "5.8S ribosomal RNA", at positions 35 to 154 of the family's 154-position model. The record is from RNAcentral.